GAAGCAAAGCUGGGGCCCCACCCCUGUCUGGCCCAGAAGCACUGCUCUCCUAAGUCUCUGUCCCUAUCUGGAGCCCUGCCCUAGACUGACCUGCCUUUCUGCAGCUGACACAUGUGAAUUCAUGAGGACCGGGAAGGGCUCCUAAUAUUUCCAUCUGAAGCAGUAUCUCUGAAAUUUCAUAGACAUGCGGUCACGCACACAUCUUUCCAAGGUCUCAGAAGCACAACAGCUAUUCACAGCUCUUCUGAGAACAGACAAGGGGCUUGCAGGUACAUCUGGCACAGGAAGGUCAAGGUGGCCAGCAUGCACAUGCAGAUGCAUAGCUAACACUGGGGAAAACCAGACUGGAAUAAUUCUCUGAGCUUUCUCCUUAGAGGCAGCAGUCAAAGCAAUGGGAGUGCAUGCAGUUGAUGAGAAAAAAUAAUGAAGAACCAGAGAGGAGGAAAGGAAAGGGGGUAAAGGAAUCAUCUUGUAGAAAACCCACAGCUAAGGGUCAAGAAGGAGAAGGUUAAGCAGGGGAGUGACCAACAGGUUGGUUGUUAGCUCUGCUCUGUAGACCUUUAAUUUGUUUGGAACUUGUUUGCCACCCUGACAUCGUAGCUGGCUUGCUAAUGUUCCAAAUGACCUCCAGCUUGCUUGUCUGUAUUUUUCUGGACAUUAUGAUGCCCAAGUAACAGAAUACUGUUGCUGAGAAAGAUCUUUUACAAAAUCUCUGUUGUACAAUUAGAGCUUGUUCAUUUUAGGUUUUUUUUUUUUUUUUUUUUUUUUUUUAAAUCAGACCAUA
This 784-nucleotide non-coding RNA is filed under the name Pongo abelii (Sumatran orangutan). Lineage: Eukaryota; Metazoa; Chordata; Mammalia; Primates; Hominidae. The record is from RNAcentral.